GAUGAACGCUGGCGGCGUGCCUAAUACAUGCAAGUCGAGCGAACAGAUGAGGAGCUUGCUCCUCUGACGUUAGCGGCGGACGGGUGAGUAACACGUGUAUAACCUACCUAUAAGACUGGGAUAACUUCGGGAAACCGGAGCUAAUACCGGAUAAUAUAUUGAACCGCAUGGUGCAAUAGUGAAAGACGGUUUUGCUGGCACUUAUAGAUGGAUCCGCGCCGCAUUAGCUAGUUGGUAAGGUAACGGCUUACCAAGGCAACGAUGCGUAGCCGACCUGAGAGGGUGAUCGGCCACACUGGAACUGAGCCACGGUCCAGACUCCUGCGGGAGGCAGCAGUAGGGAAUCUUCCGCAAUGGGCGAAAGCCUGACGGAGCAACGCCGCGUGAGUGAUGAAGGUCUUCGGAUCGUAAAACUCUGUUAUUAGGGAAGAACAAAUGUGUAAGUAACUAUGCACGUCUUGACGGUACCUAAUCAGAAAGCCCCGGCUAACUACGUG
RNAcentral lists this ribosomal RNA (497 nucleotides) under uncultured bacterium. RNAcentral's name for it is "partial 16S ribosomal RNA". It matches the Rfam family "Bacterial small subunit ribosomal RNA", at positions 28 to 507 of the family's 1533-position model. The record is from RNAcentral.